AUUGCAGUGCUCGGUCCCAUUUCCCUUUUCUCCCGCGGACUGUGGCAAGUCAGUCAGCUUUUUCAAAAAUAUUUGUAAAAGUGGAAAGAAGAAUUUUGUGUGGCUUAACAUUGAAGACUACAUUCAACAGGGAGGAUGCACAUUCUCAUGCCUUUGAAACACUUGGUAUCCCAGAGUGAUUCCUAAACACUUCAGAAAAUACACAGUAUAAAUCGAGCAAAAGAGCCACUGUGGAACAAGCUAGAUCCUUGGCUCAAGAGUGCAUCGGCAUGGUAUUUAAGGAGCAGACCCUCUGAGCGACUGGAAGCUCAUGCUGAGAAGAACAAAUGUUUCAUCAUUUUAACAGAUCACCUGUGGUGAUUUCUUCAGCCAGGGAAGAAGAGAUAUGUCAGCAUGAAAAGGCUACAACUGCUUCCAGAAACUAUGAGCGGAUGGCAAAAAAAAAAAUUGGAAGGCAGACUGGAAAAGUAGAGUAAACUGUCCAUUAAUCACCUAAUUACUAAUCCUCUGAGCCACAUAUGACUACAGGCUUAAUGAAGGCAAUAAAAUGUGUGCAAUUUGUAUCUAAAGUAAUUACAGGGACACUGCAAUUUUCAAAAAAUAUUAAUUUUAUUAAUCUUAGGAAUGUGAGUGCAGAGAGAAAAUUUGUAGAACCAAAGCAAUGGCAAAUGGGAUCGAUAAAAAUACAUUAAUGUCAUUUAAAUUAGUGCAAAUGUUUGUUUUAUGAAGCUCCAUUAAAAUUCAUUUCCAAAGUAUCUACUGAAGCUAAAACUGCUAUGUGGGUAUGUACAUGUGUAAAACAGAAACAUGAGACAAAUAUUUCUAAGAUAUCUGAUUUACUGGUAGCUGGAUCCUGGAAUGUGAUUCACUAUUGCAGUCUCAUUCACAGUUGCAUGAAUCAACUACCUACCAUUGAGGUAUAGAUAUUUUAAAACAAUUAUUUUUCAGUUAUCACUUCACUUGCAAAUUAUGAAAGUAGGUCAUUACAGCUGUC
Long non-coding RNA from Pipra filicauda (Wire-tailed manakin), 994 nucleotides. RefSeq lists it as uncharacterized. The transcript is spliced from 4 exons. NCBI's taxonomy places the organism in Eukaryota, Metazoa, Chordata, Aves, Passeriformes, Pipridae. The record is from RefSeq and is a predicted model, not a curated record.